RNAcentral lists this ribosomal RNA (4614 nucleotides) under Triticum aestivum (bread wheat). RNAcentral describes it as "partial small subunit ribosomal RNA". The record is from RNAcentral. Lineage: Eukaryota; Viridiplantae; Streptophyta; Magnoliopsida; Poales; Poaceae.
AUGGAGGAAGAAGCUUUGAGGGCGGCGAUGGAAGACGCUUUCCUGGAGGGCGCGGUUCAAUGGCGCGCGGAUACCAUCCUCCAGACCCUGCGGAUGGACAAGCUAGAUGCGUGGAUCCGUGGAGAGGGGCUUUCCGAUGACAUCGAGGCGCUAAAAUCUGAGAUCGAUGAAGUCAAGGCGACGGUCUCUGAUGUAAAGGGGAGGGCGAUCGGCAACAGGCGGCUGGCUAGGUCUCUCGCCGCGCUCAAGCAGAAGCUCUUCGACGCCGAUGACGCGAUCGACGAGCUCGACUACUACAGACUUCUACACCAGGUCGAAGGAGGCCAACACCUGCUGCCAUCUUCGUCCAACACGCACAAUUGCUUCGCCUCCGACGAUGUCACUCAGCCUUGUACCCCAGCUGCAAUGACUACCCCCGUUACUUUGCAGGAGCCUGAAGGCAUGCAUGAAGUAGCACAACUAGAUCAUGGCACAUUGAGGGGCGAUGAUAAUAUACUGCCAAGAAGCGGUCGUGGCAAAAAACGGUCCAAGGCAUGGGAUGAUUUUGAAGACAUAAGAGAUGAUAAUGGAAAGACCGUGCAGGCAGAAUGUAGACACUGUAAAAAGAGAGUUCAAUACAAAGGUGCACAAGGGACAAGAGUCUUGAUAACUCAUGUCAAUAGUGCCGAGUGUAAGAAUACACGAGAAGCACGUCCCCAGACGCCAAGCCAUUCAACCUGCAUAAACGAUGCUACUGAAAAUGCUACCCUCGCUAAUUCAUCCAGCAGACCAACGAACCAAGAGCGAACACAGAUCACCGCAGCUGUUGCUCACCCUUGGAAUAAGGACGAAAUUUCCAGUAGGAUACUGAGAAUAACUCAUCAGUUGCAAGGCAUCCGAGGGAAUGUGACAAAGGAUCUCAACAUGUUUGGGUCACACUCUGGUGCAAGUUCAGUUCUCCAUCAAAGAACAGCCUCAGAUCCAUGCCGAAGAACAUCAAGUCUUCUUCAAGGCAAAGUGUAUGGGAGAGACAAAGAGAAGAACACCAUCAUAAAGGUGAUUACUGCUGGGAAAUCUGACAGUGUGACUGUCGUGCCUAUUGUAGGCAUUGGAGGUGCUGGGAAGACAGCUCUCGCACAAUCUGUAUGUAAUGAUCCGAAAGUGCAAAACCAGUUUGACCACAGCAUAUGGGUGUGGGUGUCUAACAGCUUCGAUGAAAUGAGAAUCACAAGAGAGAUGUUAGAUAUUGUCCCUCGAGAAAAGCACGAAGGGUUAUGCAGCCUUGACAAACUCCAGCAGGUCUUGAAAACUCAUAUCGAAUCAAAGAGGGUUCUACUUAUAUUAGAUGACGUCUGGGAUGGCAUGAACGAUGGCAAACUGGACCUGAUACUGGCUCCUUUCAAGUCAGACAAUGCAAAUGGCAAUGUGAUCCUUGUAACGACCAGAUAUCUCUCUGUUGCAAAAAGGAUAGGAACGACUGAACCAAUUGUGUUAGGUGCUCUGGGAGAAGACGAUUUUUGGUCACUGCUCAAAGCACGAGCAUUUCGUGAUGAGAACUGUGAAGGGUAUGGAAAGCUAGAAAGCAUUGGAUGGAAAAUAGCAGGCAAGCUAAAAGGCAACCCAUUAGCAGCAGUAACUGCAGGGGGACUAUUAAGAGUUGAUCUUACUGUUGAUCAUUGGAACAAAGUUCUCGAGGAAGAAGGUUGGAAAUUGCUGGAGCUCGGUGGAGGCAUCAUGUCUUCUUUGAAGCUUAGCUAUGAUCAGUUGCCUUACCAUCUACACCAAUGCUUCUCAUAUUGUUCUAUAUUCCCCGAGAACCAUGACUUUCUUGAUGAGGAGUUAGUCCGUAUUUGGAUUUCGCAAGGAUUUAUCAACCCGAGUCAUUCAAGUAAGAGACUGGAGGAGAUAGGAAUGGACUAUUUGGCAGAUUUGGUGAACGUGGGCUACUUUCAGCAAGUUGGAAGAAAUUCAUAUGUCGUGUGUGGUCAUAUGCAUGAUUUUGCAAGGAUGGUUUCAAGAACUGACUGUGCAAUUAUAGAUGGUCUAGAAUGCAAUGAUAUAUUGCCAACUGUACAACAUUUGUCAAUAGUAUUCAACGGACUUCAGCAUAGGAACAUACAUGUAGAAAAUAUGCGAGACACAAUUGCAUCAAUAGUCACAAAAUUGAGAUCAUUUAUCUUAAUUGGGCAGUACGAGUCUUCCUUCUUCCAAUCCUUCCAAAAUAUAUUCCGGAAGGCACAUAAUUUACGCCUGCUGCAAAUGUCUGCUACACCAGAUGAUUUUCGUUCUGUGUGUAGUUUGGUAAAUCCUACUCAUCUCCGUUAUCUAAAAGUUAAUGUUGGUUGCAGUGAAAGAGAUGUGCUUCAAGUUUUGAGCAAGUUUUGCCAUCUUCAAACAUUAGAUGUCGGAUCAAACACUACCCUUAAUGGACCUCAUGGCAUCAAUUAUCUUGUGAGCUUGCAAUAUCUUGCCGCGGCUUCCAUUGCUAGAGUUGGCAAACUGACCUCACUUCAGAAACUAAACAAUUUCAGCUUAGAAGAUUGUAAUGGCUUUCAGAUUACAGAACUUAAAUCCAUGAACAAUCUUGUUCAACUAGGGAUUUCUCAGCUUGAAAACGUUAAAACUCUGGAGGAGGUUUGUGGGGCAGGACUGCAAGACAAAUGUCACUUAGAAAAGCUGCACUUGUCCUGGUCAAGCGACCGGGACUUGUUCUGGAAAAGCUUUUUGCAUAGUGAACCUUCUACCAGCAUACAAACAGAGCAGUGCUUGCGAACAGAGGUACUUGAGGGUCUUCAACCACAUAACAAUCUAAAGCAUCUGCAGAUAUUUGGAUACAAUGGUGCUUCCUCUCCAUCUUGGCUUGCCAGCAACAUACCAAUAACCUCUUUACAGACCCUUCAUUUAGAGAACUGUGGAGAAUUGCAGAUACUUCCAUCUGUUGAAAGGCUUCCGUUUCUUAUAAAGUUAAGCUUGAGCAACAUGCCAAAAGUAAAAGAAGUAUCCAUUCCUUCGUUGGAGGAGUUGGUGUUAAUUAAAAUGCCAAAGUUGGAGAGAUGCUCCUGUAUUUCCUUGAGGGACUUGAACUCUUGUUUAAGGGUUCUGAUGAUUAAGAAAUGCCCUGCACUGAAGGUGUUUGAUCUGUUUGGGAACAGCCAUAAAUUUAAAAUUGAGCAGAAGCCAUGGUUACCACGUCUUCGUGAACUCAUUAUUCACAAAUGUCCUCUUUUGCCGGUACCACACCCUUUACCAUCUUCAAGUACCGUUUCUAGAAUUUCCAUGAGUGGAGUUUCAAAAUUUCCAGGAAUAGAUUUACGGUCCUGCGGAAGUUUAACCAUCGGCAAGGAUCCUGAGGUGGAUGAUUCUGAUUCUGAUUCUGAAUAUGAUUCUGAUGAAGAGGGUAGUUUUUACAGGUUUUCUGAUAACCUGUCAGUAUUAGAUGGCAAUAUUUUGGCAUUCCAUAAUCCAAGGUUCCUGACACAGUUGAUAAUAGGUCGUUGCCGAAAUCUGACGCAUAUUUCAUUCAAAGGAUUAAGUCAACUUGUAUCCUUAAAGACACUGAGAAUAGUGGACUGUCCAGGACUUUUUGGUUUCGAUGUUCCACCAGACCAUACCCAUGAAGAUUUAUUUCAAGCUGAUAGCCAUGAAGAUUUAACAGCUGUAAAUUGGAAUGCCCUCCCAUCUCUUGAAUGUUUAGAGAUUUUUUCAUGUGGAAUAACGUGGCAGUGGCUAUCUCUGAUUCUGCAACAUGCGCUAGGACUAAUGAUAUUGGAUUUACGUCGCUGCCCAAAUUUAGAAUCUCUACAACUGAAUUCCUGCACGGCACUGGAACAGUUGGGGGUAUAUGACUGUGAAUCGCUCGGCAUACUAGAGGUCUUGCAAUGCCGUUCCCUCAGGGAUAUGAAAGUGGUGCAUGUCCCAAAAUUGAAAUCCCUACAGCUGCACUUUUGCACGGCAUUGGAAGAGUUGGUCAUCCGUGAAGCUGCAGUCUGCGUGCUAGAGGGCUCACAAUCACUCAGGAAGUUGGAACUCCGUGACAACCAAUAUUUGGAAUCUCUAGACCUGUACUUCUGCACGGCACUGGAAGAGUUGGAUAUUCUGAGAUGUUCUUCACUCUGUACACUAGAGGGCUUUCAAUCCCUUGGCAGCCUCAGGCGUCUGUAUCUACGUGAUUGCCCUGGCUUGCAUUCAUAUUUGGAGGGUUUGCCAGCGCAGGACUGCGAAUUAUGCCCUCAACUAGAAUUUCUUGGAAUCAGUGACUUCUCUUUCCUUGCCACGUCGUUCUGCAGGCAACUCAGAUCACUCCAGCGGCUAGUUAUUUGUGGUUCUGUGGAAGAAACGACAGCGGAAAGACUAACAGAUGAGCAAGAGACAGAGCUUCUGCUCCUCGGUUCCCUCACAGAGCUCCGAUUUGAGGAUUGCAUGUAUCUCAAAUAUCUUCCUGCAGGCGUGCACAGACUUGGCUCGCUCCAGGUGUUGGAGAUUUCAUUUUGUCCGAGCAUCUCAGGGUUGCCGGGUCUCCCGCCUUCUCUAGAGGAGUUGAGAAUCUUCCGUGGCAGUGAGGAGCUGAAACUUCAAUCCAAAUCGCUAGCAUCAAGCAAGUUAAAGGUCAAAAUUGACAACCAAUAUGUGAACUGA